GCGGCUGGAGAGGUGGUGGUCGGAGAAGUAGGAACCUCCUGCUGGGCUCGUGACGGCUUCUGUGCGCUCCGCGGCGGGAAGCGCCUUCCCCACAGGGCUCUCUAAAUACGUACAGAUUCUGCGAUAAUGUGUGGACUUUUGUACUGAAUGAUGUUGAAUUCAGAGAGGUGACAGAACUUAUUAAAGUGGAUAAAGUGAAAAUUGUAGCCUGUGAUGGUAAAAAUACUGGCUCCAAUACUACAGAAUGAAUAGAAAAAAUAUGACUUUUUUACGCCAUCUUCUGUUAUUCAUUGCUUUUGAAGAGAAGCAUAGAAGAGACUUUUUAUUUAUUCUAGAAUUGCAGAAAUGACUACACUGUGCUAUACCAGAGAAUUCCAGUAGAAAGAAACUUAUAACUCUGUAGCCUCUUACAUCACCUUUAUUAUACAGCAUGAAAAACCAUAACUUUUUUUUAAGGACAAAAGUUGUUGCCUUCCUAAGAACCUUCUUUAAUAAACUCAUUUUAAAACUUUGAGUCAUAA
Molecule: small RNA, 521 nt
Filed under: Pan troglodytes (chimpanzee)
Lineage: Eukaryota; Metazoa; Chordata; Mammalia; Primates; Hominidae
Description: processed transcript
Source: RNAcentral